GAUUCCUCUAGGGAUUUCUCCAGGAAUUCUUCCUAGGUUUCCGACAGGAAUUUGUCCAGAUGUUAUAACGGGGCCAGCCUGUCGCGCUUCCGUUAAUGGUUGGAUGGCUUAUGCGCCACUCCGUUAGGAGACCAUCCAACAAAGAUAGCGUUGCCCGGCUUGAGACCUUCUUAAGGGAAGGGUCAGUUUUCUUGAUGGGUAAGCUGACUGGCUGACUCUAAUAAGGUCGUCGUACUUCUCGUUACCGAGGGGAUACGACGAACUCCAACGAAAAUUACAAAUAAAUCCCUCCAAUAUUCGGCCGAGAACAAGCCACCAGUGCGGGGGUUUUCUUCACGGGCCCAGUCCAAAAAGUUCACCUGUCCCAGUCCACGGAAGACUAGAGAACUGUCCAAAAUCGGAUUUGGGCCGACUACCCAGUAGACUACACAAAAUACUCAAAAACUCUACAAAACGAACGCGAAGCAACAUAUAUCCUUAAUAAACAUCAACUAAAGUACAUUAAACUACAUAGAGCAUUUCUCACCGUGUCUCGGCUCAAACUACAAAAUUUCGGUCGGUAACAAUUAUAAUGUUCGACCUUCCGACCUUGCUCAUGGGGACAACAUACAUGGGAUACCAAACUACAAGAGACUCUGUUUACAAACGAUACAUGGAUUUAUUCUCAACUUUCACUUUCAUUUCCUACACGGGGAAUCGAAAUCACUCAAAAUCAAGUUAAAAAGUACGCAAAAAGCAGUACUUCUGGAAGACUACCGGAAUGGAUACUUUUCGGUUCUUGUUUUUAAAUACAUUUUACUCAAUGUACCUCUAAUCCGACACAACUGGCUUUUGGGUAAAUUGAGACUUGACAUUUUCUUUUAUUUUGCUUCCCGCACAGAGAGUAUCCAAAAUCGAGAGUUGAAAAUGUACUCGGUUUUGGAUGAAAAUUUAUUUCGUAAAUAUGGCGCUCGUUGUGUUCAACUGGAUGUGUGAAUUAUUAAGUAAUUGGAGCAGGAAUUGGAGGACACCCGUACCUACGCCAAGCUAAAAUUCAAGAAUAUUCACACCUACGGAUUUUACUCUGGAAUGGAAGCCAAAUGACGGAGCAGUAAGGGUAUUAAUUUUUUAUAACAUAUUAAAAAUUGUUGUUGAAUGUAACUCCAAUCUCCUCCACUAAACAGCGUAUUCCCAAUGAUGGCCUCAACGGAAGUAAUCAAGUGCCCAAUUCCAGCAGCAGCAACAUCCGAGAGAGCGACGUUCGAAACCCAGGAAGCAUUGUAAUAAUCAAUAAGUGUUAGAUAUAACAUGUUUGCCAUCAUAUGUAAAGCGUUUCUGCAGGAUCGAAUAAAGUCAUUUAAUUUAAGUGUCAGUUGUCCUAUUAAAUCAAAGAAAAUCUCAAUUUUAUCGAAUAAUCUAGCUCCACCAUUUUACUCAAUUUUGAGUAGUUUUUAUCCAACGAUCACUGAAUGCGAAACAGUUAAAUUCACUCAAAGCGGAGUUCUUGUGAAAUAACUCAAUUUUGGGUUUUUUGGAAAUAACUCAAAUUUGACUGGUUUUACUUAGCUGUCAAGUUGGAUGAAAAAGACCUAAUUUUGAGUUUUUUCAUUUCCCCGUGUAG
Long non-coding RNA from Aedes albopictus (Asian tiger mosquito), 1600 nucleotides. RefSeq lists it as uncharacterized. Lineage: Eukaryota; Metazoa; Arthropoda; Insecta; Diptera; Culicidae. The record is from RefSeq and is a predicted model, not a curated record. The transcript has 2 exons.